Molecule: long non-coding RNA, 340 nt
Organism: Bubalus bubalis (water buffalo)
Lineage: Eukaryota; Metazoa; Chordata; Mammalia; Artiodactyla; Bovidae
Exons: 2
Source: RefSeq, a predicted model, not a curated record
UUCCCCUUCAGUGUUUCAGGCUCAGUGAUAAAGGAGCUGCUGGAUCACUUUCCUGGUUACAUGCAUCCUGGCUUCCCUCCUCCUGGUUUGGAAAGGUGCUUACAGAAGAUUCUUUCAUGCUAGCAAGUCAACUUCUGUAUUUGUUCUGGAGAUUAUAAAUCAGAAAUUAAGAUGUCAUCAAGGUCCUGCUCCCUCUGAAGGCUCUAGAGAAGAACACUAUUUUGCCUCAGCAUCUGGUUGUUGCUGGCAAUCUCUGGUGAUCCUUGGCUUAUAGACAUAUCACUCCAAUUUCUGUCUCUCUCAUUACACAUUAUUCUCCUUAUCUGUCUCUCUUUGUCUU